Molecule: ribosomal RNA, 989 nt
Filed under: metagenome
Also listed under: 1 other name
Description: bacterial LSU rRNA
Rfam family: Bacterial large subunit ribosomal RNA
Source: RNAcentral
AACUAUAACGGUCCUAAGGUAGCGAAAUUCCUUGUCAGGUAAGUUCUGACCCGCACGAAAGGCGUAACGAUUUGGGCGCUGUCUCAGCUGUAGACUCGGUGAAGUCUUAGUACCUGUGAAGAUGCAGGUUACCCGCGACUAGACGGAAAGACCCCAUGGAGCUUCACUGCAGGUUGAUAUUGGGAUUUGAUGCAGCAUGUACAGGAUAGGUAGGAGGCAAAGAGAUGGAUACGCCAGUAUUCAAGGAGCCGCUGUUGGGAUACUACCCCUGUUGUAUUGGAUUUCUAACCGGACGACGUAGAGCCGUUGACGGGACAGUGUCAGUCGGGCAGUUUGACUGGGGCGGUCGCCUCCCAAAGAGUAACGGAGGCGCCCAAAGAUACCCUCAGCUUGGAUGGAAACCAAGCGCAGAGUGCAAAGGCAAAAGGGUGUUUGACUGCGAGACCCACAAGUCGAGCAGGGACGAAAGUCGGGCUUAGUGAUCCGGCGGUGCUGAAUGGAAAGGCCGUCGCUCAACGGAUAAAAGCUACCCUGGGGAUAACAGGCUGAUCUCCCCCAAGAGUCCACAUCGACGGGGAGGUUUGGCACCUCGAUGUCGGCUCAUCGCAUCCUGGGGCUGUAUUCGGUCCCAAGGGUUUGGCUGUUCGCCAAUUAAAGCGGUACGCGAGCUGGGUUCAGAACGUCGUGAGACAGUUCGGUCCCUAUCUGUCGUGGGCGCAGGAAAUUUGAGAAGAGCUGUCCUCAGUACGAGAGGACCGGGAUGGACGCAUCAAUGGUGGACCAGUUGUCACGCCAGUGGCAUAGCUGGGUAGCUAAAUGCGGAAGGGAUAAACGCUGAAGGCAUCUAAGUGUGAAACCCACUUCAAGAUGAGAUUUCCCAUUGCGCAAGCAAGUAAGACCCCUUAAAGACGAUAAGGUAGAUAGGUCAGGAGUGUAAGCAUGGUGACAUGUUAAGCGGACUGAUACUAAUAGGUCGAGGGCUUGACCGA